Molecule: non-coding RNA, 93 nt
Organism: Mycena rosella
Lineage: Eukaryota; Fungi; Basidiomycota; Agaricomycetes; Agaricales; Mycenaceae
Source: the annotation of a GenBank genome assembly
GGCCUGAUAGCAUAACGGCUAGUGCCUCUGUUUGAACUAUCGUAUUUUCUCAGAAUUCUGCAGAAGAUCCCCGUUCAAUUCAGGGUCAGGCCG